AGAGUUUGAUUCUGGCUCAGAACGAACGCUGGCAGCGUGGAUUAGGCAUGCAAGUCGAACGUGAAGCCGAUGAUCAAUCUUUCGGGAAAGUGAUUCGGUGGAAAGUGGCGGAAGGGUGAGUAACGCGUGGGUAAGCUACCUCGAAGUUGGGGACAACCAGAUGAAAAUCUAGCUAAUACCGAAUGUGGUCCUCUGGCACAUGCCGGGGUGACUAAAGGUGGGGAUCCUUUAUUGGACCUGCCGCUUUGAGAUGCGCCCGCGUGCCAUCAGCUUGUUGGUAGGGUAACGGCCUACCAAGGCUUACGGCUAGCCGGCCUGAGAGGGUGACCGGCCACACUGGGACUGAGACACUGCCCAGACUCCUACGGGAGGCUGCAGUCGAGGAUCAUUCGCAAUGCGCGAAAGCGUGACGAUGCGACGCUGCGUGGGGGAUGAAGGCCUUCGGGUCGUAAACUCCUGUCAUGAGGGAAAAGUAUCCCUGCAAUGAAUAGUUGCGGGGCUCGAUGGUACCUCAAGAGGAAGCCACGGCUAACUCUGUGCCAGCAGCCGCGGUAAUACAGAGGUGGCGAGCGUUGUUCGGAUUUACUGGGCGUAAAGGGUGCGUAGGUGGUUUUGUGUGUCGGAUGUGAAAGCCCAUGGCUCAACCGUGGAAUUGCAUUCGAAACUGCAGAACUAGAGUGCAGGAUGGGAGAGCGGAAUUCUUGGUGUAGCGGUGAAAUGCGUUGAUAUCAAGAAGAACACCGGUGGCGAAGGCGGCUCUCUGGAAUGCUACUGACACUGAGGCACGAAAGCUGGGGGAGCAAACAGGAUUAGAUACCCUGUAGUCCCAGCCGUAAACGGUGCACACUUGGUGUGGGGAGAUUUAACCCUCUCCGUGCCGGAGCUAACGCGUUAAGUGUGCCGCCUGGGGAGUACGGCCGCAAGGCUAAAACUCAAAGAAAUUGACGGGGGCCCGCACAAGCGGAGGAGCAUGUGGCUUAAUUCGAUGCAACGCGAAGAACCUUACCAGGGCUUGACAUAUACCUGCAAACCCCGUGAAAGCGGGGAAUCCUUCGAGGGUGGUAUACAGGUGCUGCAUGGCUGUCGUCAGUUCGUGCCGUGAGGUGUUGGGUUAAGUCCCGUAACGAACGCAACCCUUGUGACUAGUUGCCACCGGCGGUGAUGAGCCGCCGAGCACUCUAGUCAGACUGCCCGUACAAGCGGGAGGAAGGUGGGGAUGACGUCAAGUCAGUAUGGCCCUUACGCCCUGGGCUGCACACGUGCUACAAUGGUCGGUACAAUGGGAUGCAAUAUCGUGAGGUGGAGCAAAUCCUGAAAGCCGGCCUCAGUUCGGAUUGAAGUCUGCAACUCGACUUCAUGAAGU
Molecule: ribosomal RNA, 1363 nt
Filed under: metagenome
Description: bacterial SSU rRNA
Rfam family: Bacterial small subunit ribosomal RNA
Source: RNAcentral